GAUGAACGCUGGCGGCGUGCCUAAUACAUGCAAGUCGAGCGAACAGACGAGGAGCUUGCUCCUCUGACGUUAGCGGCGGACGGGUGAGUAACACGUGGAUAACCUACCUAUAAGACUGGGAUAACUUCGGGAAACCGGGGCUAAUACCGGAUAACAUGUUGAACCGCAUGGUUCAACAGUGAAAGACGGUUUUGCUGUCACUUAUAGAUGGAUCCGCGCCGCAUUAGCUAGUUGGUAAGGUAACGGCUUACCAAGGCAACGAUGCGUAGCCGACCUGAGAGGGUGAUCGGCCACACUGGAACUGAGACACGGUCCAGACUCCUACGGGAGGCAGCAGUAGGGAAUCUUCCGCAAUGGGCGAAAGCCUGACGGAGCAACGCCGCGUGAGUGAAGAAGGUCUUCGGAUCGUAAAACUCUGUUAUUAGGGAAGAACAAAUGUGUAAGUAACUAUGCACGUCUUGACGGUACCUAAUCAGAAAGCCACGGCUAACUACGUG
This 497-nucleotide ribosomal RNA is filed under the name uncultured bacterium. Its description in RNAcentral is "partial 16S ribosomal RNA". It matches the Rfam family "Bacterial small subunit ribosomal RNA", at positions 28 to 507 of the family's 1533-position model. The record is from RNAcentral.